Molecule: long non-coding RNA, 497 nt
Organism: Papaver somniferum (opium poppy)
Lineage: Eukaryota; Viridiplantae; Streptophyta; Magnoliopsida; Ranunculales; Papaveraceae
Exons: 2
Source: RefSeq, a predicted model, not a curated record
UUCUUGCCAUUACAGCAGAAAACAAACUAGAAAAACCAGUGGGGAGAGAAAUGUUGUAGGAUUAAAAAAUCAAGGUUGUUCUUCGACUUAUUUGGAAGAUUUUACGGUGUAGCAAGGGUAUUAGCAGACUCUGUUAUUCAAUUAAAAUACAUAACAGUUGAAGUUAAAGGAAGAAGAAGAAAGAAAACUUUAAGUCGAAUCGACAUGGGUCUUCAAAAAGAGUGUUCUUGGUUUUCUGGCGAUGAUUUGAUAAUAUUUGUUGUUAUUGGUGGUGCUCGAUUAAUGAUGAUUAAGAAAAAUGGUAUGUUAUUGUUGCAUAAGUUAAUUUAUGAUGAUCUUGUUUUGGGCAUCUCUUCAUGGUUUGUUGUAUGUCACUAAUCGAUGAUGGUUAAGGCAAUCUAAUGUGACAGUUGGAAGAGAGUACCAUCUUUGAUAAUUCAUGUUAUGUAGUUAUGCUUUUGUGUGACGAGCAAUGCCUGUGGAUUCAUGUAGUCUAA